AUGAGGUCAUCUCAUCCCUUUCUGCAAAGCUGGUGGCUCCUGGCAGCUGCAGGAGUUGCAUCUCCCCUCCAUUCUCAAGGAAGUGCAGGGAUCCAGGAAGCUCCUCUGGGUGAUGGCUUAUUGAUAUCAUACCAGAAUGCUGGUAAAAUGCUGGAAAGCACGAGAGAAGGAUUUCCUGGAUACCAUCUCUGUUCAAACGAGGAUAAAGUGCAGCCAAAGAAGGAAAGACAAACAAAAGGUUUAAAGCGUUGCUGGAGAAGGAAAGAACUAGACGAGAAACCACAGUCUGGAUGUAAUUAUGAGUUUUACAGGAUCCUGCAGCACUUCCAGAACUGCUGAGGACCUGGGCCAUAUCUGUCAGCUGGGAUGGCAGAAGAAGAAAUCCCCAUCAUACAGCUCGUAAGUGAAGGGGUCUAGCUGGACUAGAUAACCAUACAGAGUAAAGGAAAUAUCUGAUGAAGACUCCACAGAUUCCUCGUUACUUCUGUAUUUCACCUGGCUUAUGAAUAUUUGCAUGAACAGAUUUUGGCUCACACUGGGAGGCAUCCUCUCAUAUAAAUAUCUAUGGUAACAUAGCAACAAGGGAUUUUGUGCAUAAAACUAGUUUUUUAACUGAUGUCUCUUAGUUUCUAAAAUGAUCAGCUCUUCUGGAAAAAAAAAUGAAGUAGCUAAUUCAUAUUUGAAACCUAAACUCAUUUUCUCUCAAACUUUUCAACUGUGAUUCUGCACAAGAGUUGCUAUGGCUUCACUCUUUAGUUAUAAAUGCUUUGAAAAUAAUUUAAAUUUGACUUGAUAUUGAAACAAUACCAUUGCUAAGAUGAUCUUCAGGUGGUCAUUGUAUGUCAUGUUGUUUUCUAGAAUUUGUAUUUUAAAAUUAAUCAUGAAAUCCUUUCACCAUAUAUUAAAUAAAAUAUCAUGAAGUAUAAAAACA
This 931-nucleotide long non-coding RNA is filed under the name Numida meleagris (helmeted guineafowl). RNAcentral's name for it is "lncRNA (ENSNMEG00000010562.1)". Lineage: Eukaryota; Metazoa; Chordata; Aves; Galliformes; Numididae. The record is from RNAcentral.